UACGUAGGGUGCAAGCGUUAAUCGGAAUUACUGGGCGUAAAGCGUGCGCAGGCGGUGAUGUAAGACAGGUGUGAAAUCCCCGGGCUUAACCUGGGAACUGCAUUUGUGACUGCAUCGCUGGAGUGCGGCAGAGGGGGAUGGAAUUCCGCGUGUAGCAGUGAAAUGCGUAGAUAUGCGGAGGAACACCGAUGGCGAAGGCAAUCCCCUGGGCCUGCACUGACGCUCAUGCACAAAAGCGUGGGGAGCAAACAGG
Molecule: ribosomal RNA, 253 nt
Filed under: uncultured bacterium
Lineage: Bacteria
Description: partial 16S ribosomal RNA
Rfam family: Bacterial small subunit ribosomal RNA
Source: RNAcentral